Schistosoma margrebowiei is the source of this 46-nucleotide non-coding RNA. The record is from Rfam. NCBI's taxonomy places the organism in Eukaryota, Metazoa, Platyhelminthes, Trematoda, Strigeidida, Schistosomatidae.
ACACUGCUGAGGAGUGCCGCAAUAGGACGAAACGGCCGUCCAGUGU